RNAcentral lists this ribosomal RNA (550 nucleotides) under uncultured bacterium. RNAcentral's name for it is "bacterial SSU rRNA". It matches the Rfam family "Bacterial small subunit ribosomal RNA", at positions 355 to 897 of the family's 1533-position model. The record is from RNAcentral.
UAAGGAAUAUUGGUCAGUGGAGGAAACUCUGAACUAGCCAUCCCGCGUGAAGGAUGAAGGGGCUAUGCCUUGUAAACUUCUUUUGUCUGGGACGAAAAAGCCCCGUUUACGGGGAACUGACGGUACCAGAAGAAUAAGCACCGGCUAACUCCGUGCCAGCAGCCGCGGUAAUACGGAGGGUGCAAGCGUUAUCCGGAAUCACUGGGUUUAACAGGGUGCGUAGGCGGCUUAGUAAGUCAGUGGUGAAAGACUGUGGCUUAACCAUGGAAUGGCCAUUGAUACUGCAGAGCUUGAAUGAGGUUGAGGUUAGCGGAAUGUGACAUGUAGCGGUGAAAUGCUUAGAUAUGUCAUGGAACACCAAUUGCGAAGGCAGCUAACUGGACCUAAAUUGACGCUGAGGCACGAAAGCGUGGGUAGCGAACAGGAUUAGAUACCCUGGUAGUCCACGCCCUAAACGAUGCUUACUCGUUGUUUGACGUGCCGCAAGGCUGUUGAGUGACUAAGCGAAAGCGAUAAGUAAGCCACCUGGGGAGUACGACCGCAAGGUUGA